CGCCGCGUGCGGGAAGAAGGCCUUCGGGUUGUAAACCGCUUUCAGAAGGAACGAAACUGACGGUACUUUCAGAAGAAGGUGCGGCCAACUACGUGCCAGCAGCCGCGGUGACACGUAGGCACCAAGCGUUGUCCGGAUUUAUUGGGCGUAAAGAGCUCGUAGGCGGUUCAGUAAGUCGGGUGUGAAACCUUUGGGCUUAACCCAAAGCGUGCACUCGAUACUGCUGUGACUGGAGUUCGGUAGGGGAGCGGGGAAUUCCUAGUGUAGCGGUGAAAUGCGCAGAUAUUAGGAGGAACACCGGUGGCGAAGGCGCCGCUCUGGGCCGAUACUGACGCUGAGGAGCGAAAGCGUGGGUAGCAAACAGGAUUAGAUACCCUGGUAGUCCACGCCGUAAACGUUGGGCACUAGGUGUGGGUCUCAACCAACGGGAUCCGCGCCGUCGCUAACGCAUUAAGUCGCCCCGCCUGGGGAGUACGGCCGCAAGGUUAAAACUCAAAGGAAUUGACGG
Molecule: ribosomal RNA, 508 nt
Filed under: uncultured bacterium
Lineage: Bacteria
Description: bacterial SSU rRNA
Rfam family: Bacterial small subunit ribosomal RNA
Source: RNAcentral